Molecule: ribosomal RNA, 506 nt
Filed under: uncultured bacterium
Lineage: Bacteria
Description: SSU rRNA
Rfam family: Bacterial small subunit ribosomal RNA
Source: RNAcentral
AGGACGAACGCUGGCGGCGCGCUUAAUACAUGCAAGUCGAGCGAGAACCAGGGCUUCGGCUCUGGGGACAGCGGCGAACGGGUGAGUAACACGUGGGUAAUCAACCCCCGACACCGGGAUAGCCCAGGGAAACUUGGAUUAAUACCGGAUGCUCCGUCUGGCCUUCGGGCCGGCCGGAAAAGGGUAGCUUCGGCCUCCGGUCGGGGACGAGCCCGCGGCGGAUUAGCUUGUUGGUGAGGUAAAGGCUCACCAAGGCGACGAUCCGUAGCUGGUCUGAGAGGACGAUCAGCCACACUGGGACUGAGACACGGCCCAGACUCCUACGGGAGGCAGCAGUAGGGAAUCUUGCGCAAUGGGCGAAAGCCUGACGCAGCGACGCCGCGUGAGGGAAGAAGGCCUUCGGGUUGUAAACCUCUUUCAGGAGGGACGAAGCCACUCGGGUUAAUAGCCCAGAGGGUGACGGUACCUCCAGAAGAAGCCCCGGCUAACUACGUGCCAGCAGCCGC